This 872-nucleotide ribosomal RNA is filed under the name uncultured bacterium. RNAcentral's name for it is "bacterial SSU rRNA". It matches the Rfam family "Bacterial small subunit ribosomal RNA", at positions 34 to 916 of the family's 1533-position model. The record is from RNAcentral.
GGUUUCCGGCGUUCUUACACAUGCAGUCACGGGGGCCCAGCAAUGGGCAACCGGCGAACGGGUGCGUAACACGUGAACAACCUGCCCUCGUGUGGGGGAUAGCCGUGCUAACGCGCGGGUAAUACCGCAUACGUUCCUUGAGAGGAGUCUCUUGAGGAGGAAAGCUCCGGCGCACGGGGAGGGGUUCGCGGCCUAUCAGCUAGUUGGCGGGGUAAUGGCCCACCAAGGCGACGACGGGUAGCUGGUCUGAGAGGAUGGCCAGCCACAUUGGGACUGAGAGACGGCCCAGACUCCUACGGGAGGCAGCAGUGGGGAAUCUUGCGCAAUGGCCGAAAGGCUGACGCAGCGACGCCGCGUGUGGGAUGAAGCAUUUCGGUGUGUAAACCACUGUUGCCCGGGACGAACAGCCUGUUUCGACAGGUCUGACGGUACCGGGUGAGGAAGCACCGGCUAACUCCGUGCCAGCAGCCGCGGUAAUACGGAGGGUGCGAGCGUUGUCCGGAAUCAUUGGGCGUAAAGGGCGCGUAGGUGGCCUGCUAAGCGUGCGGUGAAAGCUCGGGGCUCAACCCCGAGUCGGCCGUGCGAACUGGUGGGCUUGAGCACUGUAGAGGCAGGCGGAAUUCCGGGUGUAGCGGUGGAAUGCGUAGAGAUCCGGAAGAACACCGGUGGCGAAGGCGGCCUGCUGGGCAGUAGCUGACACUGAGGCGCGACAGCGUGGGGAGCGAACAGGAUUAGAUACCCUGGUAGUCCACGCCGUAAACGGUGGGUGCUAGGUGUGAGCGGUAUUCCACGCCGUUCGUGCCGCAGCUAACGCAUUAAGCACCCCGCCUGGGGAGUACGGCCGCAAGGCUAAAACUCAAAGGAAUUGACGG